Molecule: ribosomal RNA, 857 nt
Filed under: Ceratocystis fimbriata
Lineage: Eukaryota; Fungi; Ascomycota; Sordariomycetes; Microascales; Ceratocystidaceae
Description: LSU rRNA
Rfam family: Eukaryotic large subunit ribosomal RNA
Source: RNAcentral
AGUGAAGCGGCAACAGCUCAAAUUUGAAAUCUGGCUACAUCCCGUAGUCCGAGUUGUAAUUUGUAGAGGAUGCUUUUGGUGAGGUGCCUUCCGAGUUCCCUGGAACGGGACGCCAUAGAGGGUGAGAGCCCCGUACGGUUGGAUACCAAGCCUCUGUAUAGCUCCUUCAACGAGUCGAGUAGUUUGGGAAUGCUGCUCUAAAUGGGAGGUAUAUCUCUUCUAAAGCUAAAUAUAGGCUAGAGACCGAUAGCGCACAAGUAGAGUGAUCGAAAGAUGAAAAGCACUUUGAAAAGAGAGUUAAACAGCACGUGAAAUUGUUGAAAGGGAAGCGCCUAUGACCAGACUUGUUUCUGGCAGUUUCGUUAGCCCUCGGGCUGAUUUACUCUGUCCAGUACAGGCCAGCAUCAGUUUGCUGUCGGGGAGAAAGGCUCUGGGAACGUAGCUCCCCCCUUCUGGGGGGAGUGUUAUAGCCCUCUGCAUAAUACCCUUCGGCAGACUGAGGACCGCGCUUCGGCAAGGAUGCUGGCGUAAUGGUCAUCAGCGACCCGUCUUGAAACACGGACCAAGGAGUCAACCUUAUGUGCGAGUGUUUGGGUGUAAAACCCCAGCGCGUAAUGAAAGUGAACGUAGGUGAGAGCUUCGGCGCAUCAUCGACCGAUUCUGAUGUUUUCGGAUGGAUUUGAGUAAGAGCACACAGGGUUGGACCCGAAAGAAGGUGAACUAUGCUUGUAUAGGGUGAAGCCAGAGGAAACUCUGGUGGAGGCUCGCAGCGGUUCUGACGUGCAAAUCGAUCGUCAAAUAUGAGCAUGGGGGCGAAAGACUAAUCGAACCUUCUAGUAGCUGGUUCCAGCCGAAGU